Molecule: long non-coding RNA, 3800 nt
Filed under: Homo sapiens (human)
Lineage: Eukaryota; Metazoa; Chordata; Mammalia; Primates; Hominidae
Description: PREDICTED lncRNA (TCONS_00189021)
Rfam family: SOX2 overlapping transcript exon 3 (bases 620-895)
Source: RNAcentral
GAGGGGAAAGGCAUAGAGAAAAAGGGGAGAAGACACUCUUGCAAAAGAAGGGAGAAACAGAAGCAAUAGCUCCUUACAUUUCCUCAGAAAGGGAGAGUGAGAAAGCUUGAUUAUUUUCUAGGAAAUGGUAUGUAGAAAGGUUUGGCAGGAGGUGAGUUUAUGAGGGAAUUUGAAAGUAUUAAAGGGAAAAUUACUUCUCUGAAAAAGCAAGAAGAGUACAGAGACACAAGAGCCAAGGAGAAGAAAGUUUUGUUAUGAACAUGCUUGAAGUUUUGCCGACAUUCUGGACAUAUGUAAACAGAGUGCUCAAUGGAACAUCUGUCUGCUGCAGCCACUACUUCCUUCAUUGGACUGCAAGGUAUUUCUGUUUGGAAAAGUAAUGGAGUCCAGUCAACUUCAUUGAUCGCCAAGGACUGUCAAAAUUAUAAAACUUGCUGUGGAGCUCUGACAUGCCAGAAGCCGCUAGAAAAAGAAGUUUGACAUUCAGAAACUUAUCAAGAGGUUCUACUCUUUGGAUAGAGACCAAAAUCAUACUUUGAAAAAGCCUGACAGGUUUCUUCGGAAAAGUGGCCAUCCAUGGAAUGAAUGAAAUGUUCUCUUUCUAUUCCAGGGAUUGCAGUGGCAAAGCUAGGCUAGGUCUUGGAGGCUGGUGUAAGGCGAUGUGGGUGAAGGCAGGAGGCUGAUGGAAAGACUGGGGGGAAGAAAAGCCGAAAUGGAUUCACGGUGCCUUGGAUGAAGGACGAGAGGGGAACUGCAAGCUCCUUCAACUGGUUCUGUCCGGUGAGAAGUGAUCAAGCUUGGGCUGACAAGAGGCUCAGGGAGCCCUCACGUUCUUUCGCUUUUUUACCUGCCAAUCAAACUGCUACAAGACAACACCCUGAUCUGGCAUGGACAUAUCCAACUUAGAAAUAAUGUUUCAUUCAAGAUAAGGCUCGUGGCUUAGGAGAUUGUGACCUGGCUUGCAUCAUUCUAAGACUUCUAUCGUCUGUUUUCAAAACCCAAGGAGGACCUCCUUUUCUGUGUGAUAGUUCCUCAUGCUUUGCCAGCCACUGGGUCUUUAAGGAAGCUUGCCAAGAGUUCCCGGCUGGGAAGGACAGUUCGAGUUCAUCAUAGACAAUGAGCUGGCACCACAGUUUAAGUGACUCACCAACCUGGUUGCCCACUUCAAAAUGUCAAGAACCACACUAUCUAAUUGAAAGAACUGUGUUUUAGCAAAGUGUAAUUGGAUCGCCUGGCAAGAUCAUCUCAAACUAUGUCUCUGACCUUGCCUUUCAGUGGCUAUUUUGAGCACAAGAGGAGAAAGGAAAUGAUUCCUGAAUUAUAUCUUGUUUUUAAAAAUUAAGAUUAAUUAAUACUUGGUUUUAUGUUCAUUCCAUUGUAGGAACUUAGUGAUUAUUACAAAACAGUCAAAAUAGGUCAUAGCAAAAUGAACGUUUAAGAUUAGGUUAAAACAUUCCUCUGAAAUUUUAGUAUUCACUUUUGAAGUGUCAAUUACUAUAUUUCUGUAAUUUCUCAUUUUUUUCUUGGCUUAGAGUCAAGAUGAAAAAUGAUAUUUGAAUCAAAGACAUUGUUUUGUUAUAUAGCCACUCCUUUCUAAAAUGCAAAUCCACCCUCCCCUCACCAAUGCUUUAUUCUUUGUGCGCGCACACACACACACACACACACACACACACACACACACACACAGACAUACACAGAACCAGCACCCAAAUGGUAGAGGAGGUCCUUCCAAGACUUCUAGGACCUGGAUCAUGUAAGCAGUAGAUGAGAAAAUGAAGUAAGAGAUAUAGAGUAAUAACAAUAAAAGUCAAUGAUUUCAUUUUACAAAAAAGUCAUUGUGUAGUACUCAGAUAUUUUUAAGAGCAAGUAUUAUUAUGACUAAAGUAUAUUAUACUUCUAAAUUAUUAUGAUUCUCAUCUAAUUUCAAGCCACACAUAGGCGCCAUUUGAAAGCAUUUUGUGUUACAACCUAUCAACAAAAAUCAACUAAUAGUUUUAUAACGUGCAUAGGUUUACCCCAUGGGGAAUUAAAAUUUUUAUCUGCAAGUAUUUCUGUUGUUGUGAGACUUUAGGACAAGACAACAUUUGGUGUUAACAUAGAAGAAUAUUCUAUGGCUUUUUUAGCUUUAAAGUUCAUUACUCUAAAAUAAAGUACACGUGGUAUUUUUUUCUUCCUAGUGUUCUCUUAUUAUAUGUAGAGUAUUUUCGGUUGUUGUUUUUAACGUAUACAUUAUUUUUAUUAAGUCAUUUCAUAAAAGAUAAGAUAUAUACUAAUAGACCCUUGGUUUUCUCCUAAUUUAAUUAUUUCAAGUCAAGCAAAAUUGGGCAAUUUUCUUUCAGGAAAAAAAAAAUAUUGAGCAUGAUUUUGAGGUAAAACUGAUUAUUUACAGCAUCUUUUCUCUAAUAGGCUAACAUUUAUGAUGGAUCUUAUUUCAAAGUUGAUUAUUCUCAAAGAAAAGUGGAGAUAUUAGAAUUUCCGAGUAAAUUGCAUUGUUUUAAAAAGUACUUUAAUGCAUUGUUCACAUUGUUGCCAGCUAUUGACCAAAAAAGAGAAGAAGAAAAAAGAAAUAAAAAAAGCAGUAUCUGCUCCAAACGUCAAGUUUUGCAGUUUGAAAGACUUGUACAUUAUAAUUGUUUUUUUCUUUUUUGGAAAGCAGUAGUAAUUAAUACCAAAGGCAUAGACAAUUUAGGGCCAUAACCUCCCUUCCCCCCUCUCCACCUUUUUUUUUUUUUUUUUUUUUUUUUAACUUUAACCAUGAUAGGCAUCUCUGCAAGGUAGGUUUUAACAUAUUUUUUUCCUAAUUUUUUUCCCUCCAUUCAGUAAGAAGGAUAAGCUUUUAGAGUACCCAGUCACCGUGGUAACUGCCAAAAAAAUUCUCCUGAAGUUUGAAGAGGUCAGCUAGCAGGGUCAACAACCCUGGCCUCUCUCUGAGCUCGGUCUAGCAUGCCCCAGCCUGCGGUUGGAGUGUCAGGCCAGAUCUGACCCUGGGAGGUGGACCAUUCUGGCUCUGAUAUAAAUUUUUCGAGUCAGUUCAUGGCCUGGACUCUCCAGGUGGCCUCCAAAAUCGAUUUUGACCCCCUGACCCUGUCUCACGGAGGCAUAGCAUCCACCCUAAGUAAGGAUUUAGCCAGGAAUGACAGCUUUCCACUGAGUGUUAUUGGGGACAGUAUAAACAGUUUGGAAAGCAAGUAAGGAGGUGUGAGGGCUAGCAAUCAUUAAAAGCACAUUAAAAAACAAUUUUUAAAAAUCUUUAUUAGAGAAAGUUGUAAAUGCAUAUCUGUUACAGAAUUCCUGUGAUUUGUAGAGUUUUCUAGUCAGUUUUGAAUAUAAAUAGGUCACAUAUCUUUAUCUUUUUGCAUACUUUGUUACAAAUAUGCAAAUAAGAUAGGCAUACUUGCUACAAAAUAGGUACAGCAGGAAUGUAAUAUGUUCAGAAAAGGCAAACUGGUUAUUAAAACACAUUAACAGGUAAGGAGUUUCUAAUAUUUUAAAUACUAAAAUUUUACAUGUGUAUUUUGAAGUUUUUAAAAUGGAAAAAUAAAGAACCUUUAAAAAACCCAACAGUGUGGAAUAAAGAUAAACUUGUUGCACUCAAGGUACAUUUCUACUUUGUAAAGCAAGAAGCCAAUACACUCAGUUGGAUAAAAAUGAGAGAAAAAUUGUAAAUAUAGAGAGUUACAGCUUAUAGAGCUGAAGAGGAAUAAAACAAAAAAAAGUGUCUCUGAAUAACUUUAUGUAUUUUCAACAGUUUAAGAUAUCAGAAACUUGGAAAAUAAAUAUGAUAUAUAUAUAAAUCAUCA